Molecule: ribosomal RNA, 497 nt
Filed under: uncultured bacterium
Lineage: Bacteria
Description: partial 16S ribosomal RNA
Rfam family: Bacterial small subunit ribosomal RNA
Source: RNAcentral
GAUGAACGCUGGCGGCGUGCCUAAUACAUGCAAGUCGAGCGAACAGACGAGGAGCUUGCUCCUCUGACGUUAGCGGCGGACGGGUGAGUAACACGUGGAUAACCUACCUAUAAGACUGGGAUAACUUCGGGAAACCGGAGCUAAUACCGGAUAACAUGUUGAACCGCAUGGUUUAACAGUGAAAGACGGUCUUGCUGUCACUUAUAGAUGGAUCCCCGCCGCAUUAGCUAGUUGGUAAGGUAACGGCUUACCAAGGCAACGAUGCGUAGCCGACCUGAGAGGGUGAUCGGCCACACUGGAACUGAGACACGGUCCAGACUCCUACGGGAGGCAGCAGUAGGGAAUCUUUCGCAAUGGGCGAAAGCCUGACGGAGCAACGCCGCGUGAGUGAAGAAGGUCUUCGGAUCGUAAAACUCUGUUAUUAGGGAAGAACAAAUGUGUAAGUAACUAUGCACGUCUUGACGGUACCUAAUCAGAAAGCCACGGCUAACUACGUG